CGAUUAGCAACCAUUUCCUUCCCCUCGCUUCAGCAUUUCUAACAGGAGGAGAAUAAUACUGUUCCUAAAAGGCUGGGGCAGCAGAACCAGACAGAACACCAGUGAUCAGAAAGAAGGAGCGCUCGAUCACAGAUGUCCAAAUGCUAACCCUCUCAAGGCACGAUGCUGAUGGACCAACUCCCUCGUGAAAUCACACCCAUGUGUUGCCUAUUUAUGCAACAGAUAAACUGGAGCAAACCUUGAAUUUCUUCUCCUACUACCAAUUAAUGACUCAGGCAGUAAGGGUGACCUCCAAAUGCAUACUCUGUAGGAAAGCGGAAGUCAGCACACAUCGUGCUUGCCAGAGGCACGCUGUUCUUCCAGCUGCACAUUCUUCAUCCCUAAGUGUCCAAGGCUAAAACCAAAACCUGACCCCAAGCAGUAAGUUGCAAUGUUCUGACAUCAUGACAUCAUUCGGUCUGGAGCACUUUAAUACAACAAUUUGAAGGAAAAAAAAAUUGGCAGAAGCUUAAAUAGGUCACACUGAAGCC
Molecule: non-coding RNA, 530 nt
Organism: Rattus norvegicus (Norway rat)
Lineage: Eukaryota; Metazoa; Chordata; Mammalia; Rodentia; Muridae
Source: RefSeq, a predicted model, not a curated record